UAUGUUCAGGUGAAUUACAUU
RNAcentral lists this non-coding RNA (21 nucleotides) under Caenorhabditis elegans. Lineage: Eukaryota; Metazoa; Nematoda; Chromadorea; Rhabditida; Rhabditidae. The record is from RNAcentral.